This 530-nucleotide ribosomal RNA is filed under the name Bruchidius aurivillii. RNAcentral's name for it is "partial 16S ribosomal RNA". The stretch from base 395 to 530 matches the Rfam family "Bacterial large subunit ribosomal RNA", at positions 2473 to 2608 of the family's 2925-position model. Lineage: Eukaryota; Metazoa; Arthropoda; Insecta; Coleoptera; Chrysomelidae. The record is from RNAcentral.
UCAAAAACAUGUCUUAUUGAUUAUAAUUUUAAGUUUGACCUGCCCCCUGAAAAUUUUAAAUGGCCGCAGUAUUAUGACUGUGCUAAGGUAGCAUAAUCAUUAGUUUCUUAAUUAGAAGCUGGAAUGAAUGGUUGGAUGAAAUAAUAAUUGUCUCUAUUUAAUUUUUUUAAAAAUUUAUUAUUUAGUAAAAAAGCUAAAAUAAUUUUGAAAGACGAGAAGACCCUAUAGAGUUUUAUAUAUAAAUAUUUUAAUUUUAUUAGAAUAUAAAUUUUUAAUUUGAUUAGUAUAUUUGAUUGGGGUGAUUGAAAAAUUUAAUUAACUUUUUAUUUUUAAAAUCAUUGAUUUGUGAAUAAUUGAUCCAUUAAUUAUGAUUAAAAGAUUAAAUUACCUUAGGGAUAACAGCGUAAUAUUUUCAAAGAGUUCAAAUCGAAGAAAAAGAUUGCGACCUCGAUGUUGGAUUAAAAUUAAUUGUUGGUGUAGAAGUUAACAAUAUUAGGUCUGUUCGACCUUUAAAAUUUUACAUGAUCUGA